AAUAGAUACCCGGGUAGUCCACGCCGUAAACGAUGAGUGCUAGGUGUUAGAGGGUUUCCGCCCUUUAGUGCUGCAGCUAACGCAUUAAGCACUCCGCCUGGGGAGUACGGCCGCAAGGCUGAAACUCAAAGGAAUUGACGGGGGGCCCGCACAAGCGGUGGAGCAUGUGGUUUAAUUCGAAGCAACGCGAAGAACCUUACCAGGUCUUGACAUCCUCUGCCAACCCUAGAGAUAGGGUGUUCCCCUUCGGGGGACAGAGUGACAGGUGGUGCAUGGUUGUCGUCAGCUCGUGUCGUGAGAUGUUGGGUUAAGUCCCGCAACGAGCGCAACCCUUGAUCUUAGUUGCCAGCAUUUAGUUGGGCACUCUAAGGCGACUGCCGGUGACAAACCGGAGGAAGGUGGGGAUGACGUCAAAUCAUCAUGCCCCUUAUGACCUGGGCUACACACGUGCUACAAUGGAUGGUACAAAGAGCUGCGAACCCGCGAGGGUAAGCCAAUCUCAUAAAGCCAUUCUCAGUUCGGA
Molecule: ribosomal RNA, 523 nt
Filed under: uncultured bacterium
Lineage: Bacteria
Description: bacterial SSU rRNA
Rfam family: Bacterial small subunit ribosomal RNA
Source: RNAcentral